CCUAAAGGGCUCACACCUAGUGGCCCACGUUCCUUAUAGGACGAAACAAGAUUCAACUACAAAAUCCAACUCAUUGCCUACGUUUGAAAGCUGGGGAGCCUGCAGUACACAAGAUAAAGUCUUGCUUCUCCAUUUGUCCUUACGUGACUGGAAUUAUCUUUAAAUAGAGGAUAUUCAAAUAGCAUUUUUAUGCCUGGAGUUGUCGCAGCAUGAUUCCGGCAAAAGCCGCACUAUUUGUUAGCUGGCACACAGAGUUUUGGCCUGAAAUUCAGUAUUUUAUUUUACCCUUUAAAAGCAUGAAGUGACUCAACAGGAAAUUAUACAUACAUUUUUCCCUCCAAUGUAAAAACUGCAGAUCUAGUACCGAACAUGUCACGCUGGCAUUCAAUUUUCUAUUGCUAUCAUAUCUGGUUCCUUAGUGACAUAAGGUCACAAAACUUCUACUCCUGUGGCCAAGAGACAUAAUAGAUGUUGCGGUUGCUCAUUAUAUUAAAUUUGAAUUCCUAAGCUAAACAUUCUAGACCUGCACUAUUCGGCAUGGUGGCCACUAGCCACAUGUGACUAUGGAGCCCUUGAAAUGUGACCAGCCCAGAUGGAGACGUGCUGUAAAUAUACACUACACAAUGGAUUUUGAAGAUUUCAUAUAGAAAAAAAAUAAAGUCAAAUAUCUCAUCCAUAUUUUACACUGAUUACAUUUGAA
Molecule: long non-coding RNA, 700 nt
Filed under: Homo sapiens (human)
Lineage: Eukaryota; Metazoa; Chordata; Mammalia; Primates; Hominidae
Description: non-protein coding lnc-ETS2-6:2
Source: RNAcentral